UUGCACAAUGCCAAAGAUCUGCUUGUCAGUCGUUUGACCUUAGCCAGUCGAACAUGUCUCUUGGUGGCUGACGAUAUGUGCAUCUCUGAUUAUGAGUAGAAGUAGUGAGGGAGCAACAUAGUUAUGUGUUGAGAGGAAUUCUUUGGGGUUUGAAACAUUCACCUCUGG
Long non-coding RNA from Octopus sinensis (East Asian common octopus), 168 nucleotides. RefSeq lists it as uncharacterized. The record is from RefSeq and is a predicted model, not a curated record. Lineage: Eukaryota; Metazoa; Mollusca; Cephalopoda; Octopoda; Octopodidae. The transcript has 3 exons.